UGGCUCAGUUGGUAGAGCAUGGUGUUUGCAACACUAGGGUUGUGGGUUCGAUUCCCAC
This is a non-coding RNA of Salmo salar (Atlantic salmon), 58 nucleotides long. The record is from Rfam. Lineage: Eukaryota; Metazoa; Chordata; Actinopteri; Salmoniformes; Salmonidae.